AAUAUACUCCCUCCGUCCCAAAUUUUUUGUCUUAGAUUUGUUUAGAUAUGAAUGUAUCUAGUCAAGUUUUAGUAUUUAGAUACAUCUAUUUCUAGACAAAGCUAAGACAAGAAUUUUGGGAAGGAGGGAAUAUGAC
RNAcentral lists this microRNA precursor (136 nucleotides) under Hordeum vulgare. RNAcentral describes it as "microRNA MIR1122". It matches the Rfam family "MIR1120/MIR1122 microRNA precursor family". The record is from RNAcentral. Lineage: Eukaryota; Viridiplantae; Streptophyta; Magnoliopsida; Poales; Poaceae.